AUGCACAUUCAUAAUAUAAUCUGUGUUAGACCCCUUAAAUUAAGGAUAAAAGUCAACACUUUGUGUUACGUGUGGACCCUACACCAAUUUUCAUUGAUUGCACUGGCAUACGUUUUUAUGACAAGUAACAUUUUCAGUUUCAGUAAUGAGUAUAUAUACUCAAGUACCUUGGUAAAAACACCUGUACAUCAUUUCCUGUCCGAUCAGCCAAUCAUGUGGCACAUCCCACAGCUACAGGUCAGGAGCUUAGCAUGGGGACAGGAUUAUUAGCACCAAUCUGAUUUAAGUAUUUCUCAUUUUAAUGCCCAUCAAGUCUGGAUCAGGGGAAUAUCCAGACUUGAUGGAGCUGACUGAGAAGCCACAAUAACUCAGACAUCUAAUGUUUACUACUGUGGUGAGCUGCCCAGAAACCAUCUCUGGCCCACAGCAUAUAUGUGUCUAGUGGCAAAUGGGCUAACAGCAGAAAAGGUUCACAUCAGGUUCCAUUUCUGUGAACCAACAACCGAAAUCUGAGGGUGCAGUGGGUCGACCGCACAGGUGAAGGCUGGCAAAACACUGCACUUCAGAAUAAGCUCAGAUUGCCAACAACAUGAAUCCAUGAAGUCAACGUGUCUUAUGUCAACAGUCAAGGCUUCUUUCCUGGCACACUCUGUGCCUCUGUAAUAAUUAUGGCUUGAAAUAAAAAGCCUAUGAGUAUUGGUGCAGACCAUUUACAUCCCUUAAUGGAAGCUAAAGGGAUACUUUCAGCAUGACGCUGCACUGUUGAGUGAAACAAAAGUCAUCUGUAGUGGUUUCGUCAACACGACAAUAAGUUCAGUGGAUUCUCCAAUUACCAGCUGUGAGUCCAGUAGAAAACCUUUGGGAUGUGAUGCAGUGCAAUGAUAGACUCGAAGGAGCAAUGUUCAGAUGAAGAAUCUGCAUAUUGUUAUCAUUUCUGAUGGAGCACAUUCAUAAAAGCACGUCUCCAACACCCUGUGGAAUCCAUGCCACCCAGAUCUGAGGCUGUCUGGAGAGCAAAUGGAGGUCCUACCCACUAACAGCUUAGCAUCCAUAAUAAGUGAACUGCUGGUGCUUCUAUGGCAAUGACACACAUAUAUAUAUUGCACAUAUAGAACAUUUCAUUAUAUGUAAACUCAAUGUGCUUAACACAGAAUAUAAAAAAAUAAAAGUAUAAAAUAAGACAUGAAAGCACUAGCACUUCGAGUAUUGCUAAUUUUUUUUAAAAACACUUCAACUGAUUCUUGACUGAUCAGAUGUUAAAUUUGGGGAGCUCCUUGUAGGGAUGCCGUUACAGGCUCUAAUAUGGCAGAAUACAACCAGAGUCUGAGUCAGCAGGUCGUGUAUGUGUUUAGAGGCUUGUGGUUCAAUGUCCGCCCUGCUCCAGCUCCACUCAUCUCCCUCCCUCACACACCCUCCAUAGUGUUCUAUAUGCUGAUCCAACUGCUGCCCCCGCGCGCAAAUGGAAAGAUGGAAAGCUUUUACGCACCGCGCGCGUUCACUUAAAAACGGGUUUAGCUGUUGUUUCUGCAUUGUCACACGCAUCGCCUGGUGCAUAAGUAGGCUUCGGCAUUAGGGAUGUGCUGUAGAAAAGUAGGGGAUGCGGUAAUACCUCACUACAUAAUACAGGGGGGUGGGGGUAAGAGGCAAGGCGUGCGUCCAGAUGCUCACCGCCAACUAAACGCGAGAGAAGCUCAGACAUCAAUAACAUCUCGCUCAUCAAUAAGAAAUUUUGAUGGAGUUGGACUGCUUAAUUAAAUAGGUUGCCUUUACGCUAGCUGAAUUUGUAAUAUUUAAUCUGAUGACCCCCAAUGGGCAAGAUCUGAAGGAAGAACUCUUCAGCGUCUCCAUCCACAGGAAAGCGGCUCGGCCAGACAGAGAAUCCGACUUGGAG
Long non-coding RNA from Oreochromis niloticus (Nile tilapia), 1891 nucleotides. NCBI's taxonomy places the organism in Eukaryota, Metazoa, Chordata, Actinopteri, Cichliformes, Cichlidae. The record is from Ensembl.